AGCUGGCGGCGUGCUUACACAUGCAAGUCGAGCGGAAAGGCCCUUCGGGGUACUCGAGCGGCGAACGGGUGAGUAACACGUGAGCAACCUGCCCUAGGCUUUGGGAUAACCCCGGGAAACCGGGGCUAAUACCGGAUAGGACCUGGCGUCGCAUGGCGCUUGGUGGAAAGUUUUUCGGCCUGGGAUGGGCUCGCGGCCUAUCAGCUUGUUGGUGGGGUGAUGGCCUACCAAGGCGACGACGGGUAGCCGGCCUGAGAGGGCGACCGGCCACACUGGGACUGAGACACGGCCCAGACUCCUACGGGAGGCAGCAGUGGGGAAUAUUGCACAAUGGGCGGAAGCCUGAUGCAGCGACGCCGCGUGAGGGAUGACGGCCUUCGGGUUGUAAACCUCUUUCAGCAGGGACGAAGCGCAAGUGACGGUACCUGCAGAAGAAGCGCCGGCCAACUACGUGCCAGCAGCCGCGGUAAGACGUAGGGCGCGAGCGUUGUCCGGAUUUAUUGGGCGUAAAGAGCUCGUAGGCGGCUUGUCGCGUCGACUGUGAAAACCCGCGGCUCAACUGCGGGCCUGCAGUCGAUACGGGCAGGCUAGAGUUCGGUAGGGGAGACUGGAAUUCCUGGUGUAGCGGUGAAAUGCGCAGAUAUCAGGAGGAACACCGGUGGCGAAGGCGGGUCUCUGGGCCGAUACUGACGCUGAGGAGCGAACG
RNAcentral lists this ribosomal RNA (706 nucleotides) under Micromonospora sp. EUM 48. Its description in RNAcentral is "bacterial SSU rRNA". It matches the Rfam family "Bacterial small subunit ribosomal RNA", at positions 34 to 759 of the family's 1533-position model. Lineage: Bacteria; Bacillati; Actinomycetota; Actinomycetes; Micromonosporales; Micromonosporaceae. The record is from RNAcentral.